UACGUAGGGUGCAAGCGUUGUCCGGAAUUAUUGGGCGUAAAGAGCUCGUAGGCGGUUUGUCGCGUCUGCUGUGAAAACUCGGGGCUCAACUCCGAGCUUGCAGUGGGUACGGGCAGACUAGAGUGCGGUAGGGGAGACUGGAAUUCCUGGUGUAGCGGUGGAAUGCGCAGAUAUCAGGAGGAACACCGGUGGCGAAGGCGGGUCUCUGGGCCGUAACUGACGCUGAGGCACGAAAGCGUGGGUAGCAAACAGG
Molecule: ribosomal RNA, 253 nt
Filed under: uncultured bacterium
Lineage: Bacteria
Description: partial 16S ribosomal RNA
Rfam family: Bacterial small subunit ribosomal RNA
Source: RNAcentral